This 229-nucleotide ribosomal RNA is filed under the name uncultured bacterium. RNAcentral describes it as "partial 16S ribosomal RNA". It matches the Rfam family "Bacterial small subunit ribosomal RNA", at positions 568 to 796 of the family's 1533-position model. The record is from RNAcentral.
UCCGUAGGCGGGCGACUAAGUCAGAGGUGAAAUCCCACAGCUUAACUGUGGAACUGCCUUUGAUACUGGUUGUCUUGAGUUAUAGUGAAGUAGAUAGAAUAUGUAGUGUAGCGGUGAAAUGCUUAGAUAUUACAUAGAAUACCGAUUGCGAAGGCAGUCUACUAACUAUAUACUGACGCUAAUGGACGAAAGCGUAGGGAGCGAACAGGAUUAGAUACCCUGGUAGUCC